Molecule: ribosomal RNA, 548 nt
Filed under: Allophoma tropica
Lineage: Eukaryota; Fungi; Ascomycota; Dothideomycetes; Pleosporales; Didymellaceae
Description: eukaryotic LSU rRNA
Rfam family: 5.8S ribosomal RNA (bases 186-339)
Source: RNAcentral
GUAACAAGGUUUCCGUAGGUGAACCUGCGGAAGGAUCAUUACCUAGAGUUGCGGGCUUUGCCUGCCAUCUCUUACCCAUGGUCUUUUGAGUACCUUCGUUUCCUCGGCGGGGUUCGCCCGCCGGUUGGACAACACUUAAACCCUUUGUAAUUGAAAUCAGCGUCUGAAAAAACUUUAAUAGUUACAACUUUCAACAACGGAUCUCUUGGUUCUGGCAUCGAUGAAGAACGCAGCGAAAUGCGAUAAGUAGUGUGAAUUGCAGAAUUCAGUGAAUCAUCGAAUCUUUGAACGCACAUUGCGCCCCUUGGUAUUCCAUGGGGCAUGCCUGUUCGAGCGUCAUUUGUACCUUCAAGCUCUGCUUGGUGUUGGGUGUUUGUCUCGCCUCUGCGCGCAGACUCGCCUCAAAGCAAUUGGCAGCCGGCGUAUUGAUUUCGGAGCGCAGUACAUCUCGCGCUUUGCACUCAUAACGAGCGACGUCCAAAAAGUACAUUUUUUACACUCUUGACCUCGGAUCAGGUAGGGAUACCCGCUGAACUUAAGCAUAUCAA